Podarcis lilfordi (Lilford's wall lizard) is the source of this 75-nucleotide non-coding RNA. The record is from the annotation of a GenBank genome assembly. NCBI's taxonomy places the organism in Eukaryota, Metazoa, Chordata, Lepidosauria, Squamata, Lacertidae.
GGGAUGCUGGCUCCAUUGGUUAAAGCACGGUGCUGAUAACCCCAAGGUUGCAGGUUCAGUCCCUGCAUGGGACCG